UGGGGAAUAUUGCACAAUGGGCGCAAGCCUGAUGCAGCCAUGCCGCGUGUGUGAAGAAGGCCUUCGGGUUGUAAAGCACUUUCAGCGAGGAGGAAGGUGGUGAGCUUAAUACGCUCAUCAAUUGACGUUACUCGCAGAAGAAGCACCGGCUAACUCCGUGCCAGCAGCCGCGGUAAUACGGAGGGUGCAAGCGUUAAUCGGAAUUACUGGGCGUAAAGCGCACGCAGGCGGUUUGUUAAGUCAGAUGUGAAAUCCCCGGGCUCAACCUGGGAACUGCAUUUGAAACUGGCAAGCUAGAGUCUCGUAGAGGGGGGUAGAAUUCCAGGUGUAGCGGUGAAAUGCGUAGAGAUCUGGAGGAAUACCGGUGGCGAAGGCGGCCCCCUGGACGAAGACUGACGCUCAGGUGCGAAAAGCGUGGGGAGCAAAACAGGAUUAGAUACCCUGGUAGUCCACGCUGUAAAACGAUGUCGAUUUUGGAGGUUGUGCCCUUGAGGCGUGGCUUCCGGAGCUAACGCGUUAAAUCGACCGCCU
This 531-nucleotide ribosomal RNA is filed under the name uncultured bacterium. RNAcentral describes it as "partial 16S ribosomal RNA". It matches the Rfam family "Bacterial small subunit ribosomal RNA", at positions 355 to 874 of the family's 1533-position model. The record is from RNAcentral.